AAGAGAGUCUCGGCUGUUCUGGAAGAAAAUAUGGCACAUGACUUUUCCCCCUGAAGUAUCUAUUUUUCUUUUGAGUGUUUUAAAUGAUCGCCUUCCAGUCAAUGAUCUUAUUCACCGAAGGCUGACGCAUAUUCCUUCUAAAUGUCGGUUUUGUGGAGAAAUUGACACCGAGCGACACUUAUUCUUUCAAUUCCCUCGAGUGGAUCCACUCCCCUCUUCGGCUUAGAUCAUAUUUUAUUUCUGGUGCAUCAAUGAUGGACUGCUGGAAUUCUUUCUUCAUGCCUCUUCUCGAUCAACAAAAUAGCAAAGAAUUUGCAGUGAUGGUGGUUUUCUUCUUUUGGAAUAU
RNAcentral lists this unclassified non-coding RNA (346 nucleotides) under Hevea brasiliensis (rubber tree). Lineage: Eukaryota; Viridiplantae; Streptophyta; Magnoliopsida; Malpighiales; Euphorbiaceae. The record is from RNAcentral.